CUCCCAUCCUUAUCAGCCGAAAACAGUCCUUAUCUUCCCAGCAAGAUAUUUUCUUCUUCAUUCUUGAAGCUUCCAAUGCCAUUCUCUCAUUCUCCCAUGGAAAGCUAAUUUUCUUUCAUUUUCUUUCCUUGUUUUCUUUUCAUUUCUUUUCUCUUCUUGCUUCAUUCUUCUCCCAACUUCUUGUGCACCAAAGUUACAACUUCUAAACCCAAUUUCCAGCACAUAUAAACUCUAGGAGAAGAAGAAAGAAAAAGAGAGAAAGGAAGAAAAAGCUUGGUUUUGGUGAUUCAAGCAAGGAACGGAAGUGCAAAGAUAAGGUUAAAGUACUAUGGUGGCAUGUCGGAGUAAACAAUGAGCGACCGGUCAGUAAAAUAAUCAGAGACAGCUCUAAUCAAAUAGCGAUGUAAUAUCCUGCUAUCGUAAGUGCGCAUACCGAUUGAAUGACAAUGUCGUGAUAAUUACAACCGUGCAUGUGCGGAGUGGGCAGUGCACAUGCCGGUAAUGAUGCACAUGAGUUAGGUGAGAUGGUGUGUCCGGCUAUGUACACGAUGUGGGGGAUGCACAUGAGCCAGGUGAGGUGAUGGUGGUGCAUGUGCUUAUAUAUAUAUUGUCACGACCUGGUACUCCAUUCGAGCUUGUGACAACAGCUGUGACGUCCCGAUGGACAUUCAUUGUCCGAAAUUCCAACCGGAACCUCGCAAGGCUUUAAUAUCAAUUUUCGCACCUCCCU
This is a non-coding RNA of Theobroma cacao (cacao), 730 nucleotides long. The record is from RefSeq and is a predicted model, not a curated record. Lineage: Eukaryota; Viridiplantae; Streptophyta; Magnoliopsida; Malvales; Malvaceae.